This 76-nucleotide non-coding RNA is filed under the name Bradyrhizobium sp. BTAi1. RNAcentral's name for it is "chrB RNA". It matches the Rfam family "chrB-a RNA". The record is from RNAcentral. Lineage: Bacteria; Pseudomonadati; Pseudomonadota; Alphaproteobacteria; Hyphomicrobiales; Nitrobacteraceae.
GGUACGGGGAUGUGCGAUCUCCCCGCGAGGCGACAUGCCCAAGCAUCGCGUCCUGGAUCACCAAGGGCGCCGCAUG